AACGAACGCUGGCGGCGCGCCUAAUACAUGCAAGUCGAGCGAGAAGACGUAGCAAUACGUUUGUAAAGCGGCGAACGGGUGAGGAAUACAUGGGUAACCUACCCUCGAGUGGGGAAUAACUAGCCGAAAGGUUAGCUAAUACCGCGUACGCUCCUUGGACUUCGGUUCAGGGAGGAAAGCGAUACCGUGGGUAUCGCGCUCUUGGAUGGGCUCAUGUCCUAUCAGCUUGUUGGUGAGGUAACGGCUCACCAAGGCCUCGACGGGUAGCUGGUCUGAGAGGACGAUCAGCCACACUGGCACUGCGACACGGGCCAGACUCCUACGGGAGGCAGCAGUAAGGAAUAUUGCGCAAUGGGCGAAAGCCUGACGCAGCGACGCCGCGUGGGGGAUGAAGGUCUUCGGAUUGUAAACCCCUUUCGGGAGGGAAGAUGGAACGAGCAAUCGUUCGGACGGUACCUCCAGAAGCAGCCACGGCUAACUUCGU
RNAcentral lists this ribosomal RNA (484 nucleotides) under uncultured bacterium. RNAcentral describes it as "bacterial SSU rRNA". It matches the Rfam family "Bacterial small subunit ribosomal RNA", at positions 29 to 506 of the family's 1533-position model. The record is from RNAcentral.